RNAcentral lists this ribosomal RNA (249 nucleotides) under uncultured bacterium. RNAcentral describes it as "partial 16S ribosomal RNA". It matches the Rfam family "Bacterial small subunit ribosomal RNA", at positions 527 to 779 of the family's 1533-position model. The record is from RNAcentral.
CGAAGGUGCAAGCGUUAUUCGGAAUCAUUGGGCGUAAAGCGCGCGCAGGCGGAUUGACAAGUCAGGUGUGAAAUCUCGGGGCUCAACCUCGAAACUGCGCCUGAAACUGUUAGUCUAGAGUGUCGGAGGGGUAGGGAAUUUCACGUGUAGGGUAAAUCCGUAGAGAUGUGAAGGAACACCGGGGGCGAAGGCGCCUACCUGGACGACUACUGACGCUGAGGCGCGAAAGCGUGGGGAGCAAACAGGAUU